AUGGCCACCUGCCUCUCAGACAUGAUUAGUGACCAUUCCCUUGACUUCCUGGGCUUGCAAGAAACUAUGAAAAAAGAGUUUACUCCUAAAUGCCUGAGAAGAAUUGAUCCCUUUGACAUUUUCCAGUGGAAUUGGGUGCCUUCCACGGGCAAAUCUGGAGGCAUCCUAUGUGGUACACGGAGAGAUAAGUUUGAUAUAGUCUCUUGUACUAAGGGCAAAUAUAUACUGCAACUAGUGUUGUAUGACAUACAAAAAAAACAGUGGGGUCUGCUGGUAGCAUAUGGAUCGGCGCAUGAUGAAUUCAAAAAUGAAUUCCUAGUUGAGCUAGCUUCCUGUUGUAGUGGCAUGACCGUACCCUACAUAGUAGGGGGGGGAUUUUAA
RNAcentral lists this ribosomal RNA (381 nucleotides) under Triticum aestivum (bread wheat). Its description in RNAcentral is "partial small subunit ribosomal RNA". Lineage: Eukaryota; Viridiplantae; Streptophyta; Magnoliopsida; Poales; Poaceae. The record is from RNAcentral.